GUCAAAAUUAGAAUUUAAAUUACAAAAAAUAAAUUUGCAUAAAUUUAAACACACAUCUUUACAGUAUUGACAAAACAGAACUACAUGAACAUGAAAGAUUACCGCACGGAAUAAUUCAAAACCUAUUACAAACAAAAAAAAAAGACUUAUCUAGACUCGCUAUCUAUAACAUAUGGAUCCUCAUGUGUCUAUGACAUGUGAGUCUAGUGAUAAAUAUGUCAUCACCACUUAUAAGAGUGACAAAAAAUUAAUUAUUCCCAAAUCAUUGGCUACCUAUCCCUCCUAGAUCAAUCAAUCCUCCAAAUCAAAGCAGCUUGAAUCUUAUACCAAAACAAAAGAACAAACAGAUUAAUUGGAUUGGAUUGCUUUGAAUCUUUCCCACUCCACCACGUCGUCGUCGUCGUCGUGGCCGGAGGUGGUGGAGAAAGCUGUCGCCGACGGCAUCCAUCCGGAGUGAGGUUAGGCACGACCUAUCUCAUACGUGCCGACAUGGCCACGAUUAAAU
RNAcentral lists this long non-coding RNA (505 nucleotides) under Oryza brachyantha (malo sina). RNAcentral describes it as "long non-coding RNA (OBRA_LNC000351)". Lineage: Eukaryota; Viridiplantae; Streptophyta; Magnoliopsida; Poales; Poaceae. The record is from RNAcentral.